CGCAGGCGGGAUUUUAAGUCAGCGGUGAAAUUUUCAGGCUCAACCNGAACACUGCCGUUGAAACUGGGAUUCUUGAGUAUGGAUGAAGUAGGCGGAAUUCGUUGUGUAGCGGUGACAUGCUUAGAUAUAACGAGGAACUCCGAUUGCGUAGGCAGCUUACUAAGCCAUAACUGACGCUCAAGCACGAAAGCGUGGGGAUCAAACAGGAUUAGAUACCCUGGUAGUCCACGCCGUAAACGAUGAUUACUAGUUGUUUGCGAUAUACCGUAAGUGACUAAGCGAAAGCGAUAAGUAAUCCACCUGGGGAGUACGCCGGCAACGGUGAAACUCAAAGGAAUUGACGGGGGCCCGCACAAGCGGAGGAACAUGUGGUUUAAUUCGAUGAUACGCGAGGAACCUUACCCGGGCUUGAAAUGUACCUGACCGUCCUUGAAAAGGGACUUCUAGCAAUAGCAGGUAUGUAGGUGCUGCAUGGUUGUCGUCAGCUCGUGCCGUGAGGUGUCGGCUUAAGUGCCAUAACGAGCGCAACCCACAUUAUUAGUUACUAACAGGUUAAGCUGUGGACUCUAAUAAGACUGCCGUCGUAAGAUGCGAGGAAGGUGUGGAUGACGUCAAAUCAGCACGGCCCUUACGUCCGGGGCGACACACGUGUUACAAUGGGAGGUACAAAGGGCUGCUACCUGGUGACAGGAUGCUAAUCCCCAAAGCCUCUCCCAGUUCGGAUCGGAGUCUGCAACUCGACUCCGUGAAGCUGGAUUCGCUAGUAAUCGCGCAUCAGCCAUGGCGCGGUGAAUACGUUCCCGGGCCUUGUACACACCGCCCGUCAAGCCAUGGGAGCCGGGGGUAUCUGAAGUGCGUAACCGCAAGGAGCGUCCUAGGGUAAAACUGGUGACUGGGGCU
This 900-nucleotide ribosomal RNA is filed under the name uncultured Parabacteroides sp. RNAcentral's name for it is "bacterial SSU rRNA". It matches the Rfam family "Bacterial small subunit ribosomal RNA", at positions 570 to 1482 of the family's 1533-position model. The record is from RNAcentral. Lineage: Bacteria; Pseudomonadati; Bacteroidota; Bacteroidia; Bacteroidales; Tannerellaceae.